ACGCGGGGUGGAGCAGCUCGGUAGCUCGCUGGGCUCAUAACCCAGAGGUCGCAGGUNAAUCCUUUCGAGGA
This 71-nucleotide transfer RNA is filed under the name Streptomyces sp. Root1319. RNAcentral's name for it is "tRNA-Met". The record is from RNAcentral. Lineage: Bacteria; Bacillati; Actinomycetota; Actinomycetes; Kitasatosporales; Streptomycetaceae.